This 784-nucleotide non-coding RNA is filed under the name Zootermopsis angusticollis (Pacific dampwood termite). The record is from RNAcentral. Lineage: Eukaryota; Metazoa; Arthropoda; Insecta; Blattodea; Termopsidae.
GAGUAGUUUUAUUCUUGCUUUUUUGUUUGUUUUUGGUUUUUUUUAUAUGUAAGUUUUUGCGUGAUUGGUUUUAUUCUUAAUGUUGUUUGUUUUUUUUAUUCGCAUUAUUUAUUUUUAUAUAUUGAGGUGACUCAGAUUUAGUUAUAUUUUUUAGAGUUGGUUGAAUUUGUGCCAGCAGCCGCGGUUAUACAUGGAGCUCGAGCAAAUAUUUUUUGGUUGAUAGUUUUAUUUAAUUUUUGGGUUUAAUUUCUUUUGAUUUUUGGUGAAAUUUCAAUUUCUUGUUUUUCCUUUUUUUUGUUUUGUAGGCUAUGAAAUCUUUUUUUAAACUAGGAUUAGAUACCCUAUUAUUUUUGAUGUUAAUUUUGUGGCCUGAGUAGUAUUAGUUAUGUUCUUGAAACUUAAAGAAUUUGGCGGUAUUUUAUUCUGUUCAGAGGAAUCUGCCCUAUUAUCGAUAAUCCGCGUUGGACCUUACUUAUUUUUUUGUUUGUAUACCGCCGUUAUAAUGAGAAUCUUUUGAGGGUUAUAAUUUUUUCUUUCCUUUAUUUUGGUUUAUUUCAGGUCAAGGUGCAGCUUUUAUUUAAGUUGGUGGUGGAUUACAUUGUUAUUAAUUUUUGGAUUGUUUGUUGAAAUUUCUUUCAUGAAAUUGGAUUUGAUUGUAAUUGUUUGAAGAUUGUUUUUGUGAUUUUAGUUCUAAAGUAUGUACACAUCGCCCGUCGCUCUCGUUGUUUUAAGAGGCGAGAUAAGUCGUAACAGAGUGGUUGUACCGGAAGGUGCGGCUGGAAUG